Molecule: long non-coding RNA, 4916 nt
Organism: Loxodonta africana (African savanna elephant)
Lineage: Eukaryota; Metazoa; Chordata; Mammalia; Proboscidea; Elephantidae
Exons: 3
Source: RefSeq, a predicted model, not a curated record
GGGCCAAAGUACGACCUUGAGUAUAUCUUACCUGUACUUACAGACCACCUCGAGAAUACAUUUUACGUGUUAAACUUAACAACUGAAGACCAGGUGAGUUGUGGAAUGACAUCAAGGACAUCACACAUGAAGAAAGCAAGAGGUCCUUUAAAAGACAGGAAAGAAAGAAAAGACCAAAACGGAUGUCAGAAGAGACUCUGAACCUUGCUCUUGAAUGUCGGGUAGCUAAAGUGAAAGGAAGAAAUGACGAAGUAAUAGAGCUGAAGAGAAGAUUUCAAAGGGUGGCUUGAGAAGAAAAAGUAUUAUAAUGACAUGUGUAAAGAUCUGGAGAUGGAUAACCAAAACGGAAGAACACUCAGCAUUUCUCAAGCUGAAAGAACUGAAGAAAAAACUCAACCCUUGAGUUGCAAUACUGAAGGAUUCUACGGGUAUAAUAUUAAAUGACGCAGGAAGCAUCAAAAGAAGAUGAAAGUAAUACCCACAGUCACUAUACCAAAAAGGAUUGGUCGGCCUUCAACCAUUUCAGGAAGUAGCAUAUGAUCAGAAACCGAUGAUACUGAAGGAAGAAGUUCAUGCUGCCCUGAAGGAAUUGGUGAGAAAAAAAAGCCUCCGAGAAUUGACGGAAUACCAACUGAGAUGUUUCACCAAAUGGAUGCAGCACUGGAAUCGCUCACUUGUCUAAUCCCAAGAAAUAUGGCCUACGAACUGGCAAGCAUCCAUAUUUACGCCUAUUCCUAUGAAAGGUGAUCCAACCAAAUGUGGAAAUUAUCAAACAAUAUCAUUAAUAUCACAUGCAAGUAAUAUUCUGCUAAAAAUCAUUCAAAAGCAGCUGCAGCAGUACAUUGACAGGGAACUGCCAGAAAUUUAAGCAGGAUUCAGAAGAGGACAUGGAAGAAGGGAUAUCACAGCUGAUGUCAUAUCGAUUCUGGCUGAAAGCAGAGAAUACCAGAAAGAUGUUUACCUGUGUAUUAUUGACUAUGCAAAGGCAUUUGACUGCUUGGGUCAUAACAAAUUAUGGAUAACAUUGCGAAGAGUGGGAAUCCCAGAACACUCAAUUGUGCUGAUGAGGAACCUGAUCAAGAGGUAGACGUUCAAACAGAAAAAGGUGAUACUACGUGGUUUAAAGUCAGGAAAGGUGUGUGUCAGGGUUGUAUCCUUUCACAAUACUUAUUUAAUCUGCAAAUAAUCUGAGAAGCUAGACUAUACGAAGAACACGACAUCAGGAUUGGAGGAAGACUCAUUAACAACCUGCAUUUUGCAGAUGACACAACCCCGCUUGCUAAAAGAUAAGAGGUCUUGAAGCACUUACUGAUGAAGAUCAAAGACCGCGGCCUUCAGUAGAGAUUGCACCUCAACAUGAAGAAAACAAAAAUCCUCACAACUGGGCCAAUGAGCAACAUCGUGAUAAACGGAGAAAAGAUUGAAGUUGUCAAGGAUUUCAUCUUAUUUGGAUCCACAAUCAACACGCAUGGACACAGCAGUUAAGAAAUCAAAAGAUGCAUUGCAUUAGGGAAACUGGCUGCAAAAGACCUCUAAAGUGUUGAAAAGCAAAGACAUCACCUUGAAAACGAAGAUGCAACUGAUCCAAGCCACAGUGUUUUCAGUGGCCUCGUAUGUGUGGGAAAGCUGGCUGAUGAAUAAGGAAGACUGUAGAAGAACUGAUGCCUUUUAAUUGUCGUAUUGGUGAAGAAUUCUGAAUACACCAUGAAUUGCCAAAAGAAUGAAAAAAUCUAUCUUGAAAGAAGUAUAACCAGAACGUACCCUAGGCUAGAAGCAAAGAUGGCCAGACUACAUCCUACAUACUUUGGACCUGUUUUCAGGAGGAAUUAGUCCAUGGAGAAGAAUAUCAUGUACUAUUUCUUUGGACUAUCUAAGACCUGAAGAACAAAAUCUCAUGGUCCAAAUUAACGUUUUUACUUACUAAUUUUCAAAUGUAGCCCUGGUGGAACAUUUGGUUAAGAGCUUGGCUGAAACUAAAAGGUCUCAACCAGCCUCUCCUUAGAAGCCCUGCUGUGCAGUUCUAUUCUGUCCAAUAGGGUCACUGUUAGUUAAAAUUUAAUCCACAGCAAUGAGUUAUUUAAUUUUCAAAUACAAAUUUGUUGUGUUAAUGUCUAAAUUCUAAAUUAAAUUUUAUUUUAUAAACUACCUGUUUUAUAAAUUUACUUUCUAUUAUUCAAAUUUAUUGUUAUGGUAGAAUCAAAUUUAAAAAGUGACAUAAUUUUAUAUCCAGGCAAAAUGAAAUGGCAAUAACUAAGUGGAGUGCAAAAAUGGAAGCCUGCAGGAGAUAAAAAGAAAAUGAUUUGUGAAUCCCUAAAGACAAUCCCCAAAUUCCUUUUUAGAAUGUAAUAAAUCAGAAGAGACUUCUUCCAUUAAAGAAGCAUUAGAAGAAACAAGUAAAUGACAGAAAUGCUCCAGAAGUAUUGAGUGCCAGGAAUCAAUUUUACAUAACCACCAUCACUGACACACUUGAAUCUUGCAUGAAAUGAAGGGCAAAAUGAAAUGCCAAUAACUAAGUGGAGUGCAAAAAUGGAAGCCUGCAGAAGAUAAAAUGAUUUGUGAAUCCCUAAAGACAAUUCCAAAAUUCCUUUUUAGAAUGUAAUAAAUCAGAACAGACUUCUUCCACUAAAGGUACAUGCUUAAUGGGUGGGAAUCAUCCUACUAGUACCACUAGUGCUGAAAUUAACGAUGGCAAUACAAAUAAGAGAAUUUGUUCCAAAUUCUGCAUCCAUUUCUUGCUGUAGUAAAAAAAAAAAAAUUAGUAAUGAUCUAGAAAGUGAAACUAAGAAUAUUAAAUUGUCACAUCUGCAGACCCCAUAAAUAACAAAAAUGCAGAUCCUGCCUUGUGGAAUAAUUUUCUUCCAACGAAGUAAAUUACUGGAUCAAAAGAGGCCCAAGUGAUUGUCAACAUCACAGUUGUCCACUUGUAAAUUUGUGUUGAAAAUUCCUGGACGGUAAACAAAGUUCUGUAGCCAGAAUUUCUUCUAGAGUGCAAAGUUAAUGAUGAAAAUUAUAAGAGGGAGUGGCUACUGCAAUCUCCAUCAGUCAGCUCUGUGUAUUGUUUUGUUUGCAAACCUAGUAACCAAACAAACAAACCCGUCAUCCUCAUUUAAUUCUUGAAUUGUUACAGAUGAAUUUAGCAAUUGGUGCAAAUUGAAUAGGAUCGGUAAACAUGAAAAUAGUUCAAUUCACAAAGAUUAUGUUAUCAUAUUUAAACCAAACACACUGUUCUGGCUUAAUUUAUGAAGUGGAAUCACAAAUUAAUAAACAUCAGUAUUGAAAGGCCAUUUUGUAAUGUGUCAUUGUUGUCAUAACAAUCACCGAAUGGGGACUAUCUUCGUGAAAAAGAAAUGAAGUCUUUGGGUCCCCACGAAAUGGAAAAUUUUAAAGUUGACUUCAACUUGUUGCUCAUUUGAUCUAUUUUUAGCAAGUCACAUCUCAAAACACGGUAACACAGGAAAGGGCAAUCCAUCCUAUAAUUCUAAAAUAAUGUGUAAAAAAUUUAUAAUUUUGAUAAGUGAUGAAAUUCAAUCAACUAUUUUCAGUGAAAUAAGUAUAGCUCGAUAUUUCAUUUUGUCUGUGGAUUCCACUUCUGAGCCUUCUCAUACAGGCCAGCUAAGGAUUGUUUAAAGAUCCGUAUCUCCAACAGAUAGAAAACCUGUGUGGUGAUUUAUCACAUUUACUAGCUUAAAAAAUCUAAAAAAUCAUACUGGUAAAGACAUUGCAAAGCAAGUGUUUCACUAAUUAUGUGAAGUUUGCAAAAUUGAUUUUUCUAAGUGCAGAGACCAAUCCUAUGACAAUGCUGCCAUUACGUCACUGCAUUAUAAAGGCAUGCGACAGAAAAUUCUGGAAUGAAAUUAAUAUGCCAUUUUCAUACCAAGGUGCUGCACAUUCACUUAAUUUUGUAGGAUGUAUCACAAUAGAUUUUUUUUGUCCAAAACCAAUUGAUGUUUUUUCGAAUAUUCAGUUACUUUACAAAUUUUUUGCCACCUCUACUCACUGAUGAGCUGUUCUUAAAACAUAUUCAGGCAAUGACUGAACAUUAAAAUGUCAUGCUAUAGCAACAAGUACAAUUCUAGGUGCCACACAGAAUAUUGCUGAAGACCAGAUACAAAAAGGAAACACCAAAACAGAAGCUAAAAUCAUCGCUGCCUUAGUCAUCUAGUGCUGCCACAACAGAUACCGUAAGUGGAUGGCUUUAACAAAGAGAAAUUUAUUUUCUCACAGUCUAGUAGGUUACAAGUCCAAAUUCAGGACGUCAGCUCCAGGGGAAGGCUUUCUCUCUCUGUUGAUUCUGGAAGAAGGUCCUUGUCCUCCAUCUUCCCAUGGUCAAGGAGCUUCUCAGGCGCAGGGACCCCGGGUCCAAAGGACAUGCUCUGCUCUUGGUAGUAUGAGGUCCCCAACUCUCUAUCCUUUCAUCUCCUGAGAGAUAAAAGGUGGUGCAAGCCACACCCUAGGGAAACUCCCUGUAUCUCGGAUCAGGGAGGUGUUAAAAUCCCACCCUAAUCCUCUCAACAUAAAAUUACCAUCACAAAAUGGAGGACAACCUCACAUGGCCUAUCCAAGUUGAUACACACAUUUUGGGGGGACAUAAUUCAAUCCAUGACAUUCUACCCUUUGGCCCCCCCAAAAUCACAUUCUUGCAAAUGGAAAACAUAUUCGUCCCAUCACAAACCAAAACCAAACCCACUGCCAUCCAGUCGAUUCUGACUCAUAGCGACCCUAUAGGACUGAGUAGAACUUCCCCAUAGAGCUUCCAAGGAGCACCUGGCAGAUUCGAACUGCCAACCUUUCGGUUAGCAGCCGUAGCACUUAACCACUAUGCCACCAGGGUUUCCUCAUCCCAUCAUAGCAUAGAAAAAAGUCUUAAAUCAAGUCCAAGUCCAAAAUUCAAAAAUCCCUCUUCAUCUGUGAAAUCU